UUGAUGCAGGUUGUUAUGGUUCAUGAAGCAAUUUUCAAGAAUUUUAUCAAAGCUUGGGAUGACACCAUGGCUAACAUGGAAUCAAGUCAAAGCUUAGUGAACAAACUUCAAUAACUUGGAUGAACAAAGAAAGAAUGACUUGUAACAUGAAGAAGAAAUGAAUAUUAGGGUUUAAGAUUAUGUAGUUAACUUUGGUCAACCGUUGGUCAAAAAGUCAAUAGUUGACCAAAAGUCAACCUAGGUAAAAAAAUAGGACUUUCUUGACGUAAUUGUAUGGACUUGUAAUGGAUACUUAAAAAGUACAUUUGAUGAUUUUAUAAUAAAAUGGCUCUUUUGAAAUGAAAAU
Molecule: long non-coding RNA, 346 nt
Filed under: Lathyrus oleraceus (garden pea)
Lineage: Eukaryota; Viridiplantae; Streptophyta; Magnoliopsida; Fabales; Fabaceae
Description: Pisum sativum (pea) long non-coding RNA (PSAT_LNC008274)
Source: RNAcentral